RNAcentral lists this transfer RNA (73 nucleotides) under Cordylochernes scorpioides. Its description in RNAcentral is "tRNA-Thr". The record is from RNAcentral. Lineage: Eukaryota; Metazoa; Arthropoda; Arachnida; Pseudoscorpiones; Chernetidae.
GCGGGGUAGCCUAGUGGACAUGGCAUCUACCCGGUAAGCGGAACAUUGUAGGUUCGAUUCCCAUCCUUGGACA